Molecule: small nucleolar RNA, 267 nt
Organism: Lepisosteus oculatus (spotted gar)
Lineage: Eukaryota; Metazoa; Chordata; Actinopteri; Semionotiformes; Lepisosteidae
Source: Ensembl
GGUCAGUGAUGUGAAGUAAAAGGUCUGAUGCUCGCUGCCAUCCCAGCAGCCCUUUGACUCCCAGAAGCCCCUGCUCUUCUCCCAUCAUGCUCUAGUUGUGCGUGUUGGGUCCAGGGGCUCCUGACAGCCUGGAUGACCUUUUGAUCUGUGUCUCCGAGAGACCAUGGGGUCACGGCAGUGAAGGACAUCUGACAGAGCCAGCUUUCAAGGAGUGGCAGGUGCAGGGAUUGGCACUGGCACCUGAUCUCAAGUUUUCAAGCUGAGACC